CGACAUGUUGACUAAAAUGUGUAACUCGUUUUUUUAUUCAGCAUAAUGAACAGUUUAAUACCUAUUGGGAGAACUAAACAGUUAAAAAAUUUAACCAAACAGCUGGUUCUGUAAAUAUACAUAUGUUAAUUAUAUGCCUCUUAUAUACAUGAACAUAAAACAAGUGUGAUUUCCACCAGAAAGAAAUUAUGUUCAAAUAAAUUACUACAAUCAUAAAUGUGUCCAAGGAUGCGGUAAAUUCCUGGGACUGUGUUCUAUGACCAGAGAUAAGUUCAUAUCUACUCACUGAACCGCAAUUUUCCUACAGGCUUCAAUGAUACAACUGGCUUUCAGUUGCCAGAGUAGAACUUGUCCUAGAUUAUAGAAUCCAGCCCAUCGUCCAGAAUAUUAGCCCUGUCCCUCUCAAACAGGUGUGUGCAUCGC
This is a non-coding RNA of Pelobates cultripes (western spadefoot toad), 423 nucleotides long. Lineage: Eukaryota; Metazoa; Chordata; Amphibia; Anura; Pelobatidae. The record is from the annotation of a GenBank genome assembly.